UUAACAGAUGUGCCGCCCCAG
RNAcentral lists this non-coding RNA (21 nucleotides) under Arabidopsis thaliana (thale cress). The record is from RNAcentral. Lineage: Eukaryota; Viridiplantae; Streptophyta; Magnoliopsida; Brassicales; Brassicaceae.